GAUGAACGCUGGCGGCGUGCCUAAUACAUGCAAGUCGAGCGAACAGACGAGGAGCUUGCUCCUUUGACGUUAUCGGCGGACGGGUGAGUAACACGUGGGUAACCUACCUAUAAGACUGGGAUAACUUCGGGAAACCGGAGCUAAGACCGGAUAAUAUUUCGAACCGCAUGGUUCGAUAGUGAAAUAUGGCUUUUCUAUCACUUAUAGAUGGACCUGCGCCGUAUUAGCUAGUUGGUAAGGUAACGGCUUACCAAGGCAACGAUACGUAGCUGACCUGAGAGGGUGAUUGGCCACACUGGAACUGAGACACGGUCCAGACUCCUACGGGAGGCAGCAGUAGGGAAUCUUACGCAAUGGGCGAAAGCCUGACGGAGCAACGCGGCGUGAGUGAUGAAGGUCUUCGGAUCGUAAAACUAUGUUAUUAGGGAAGAACAAAAGUGUAAGUAACUGUGCACGUCUUGACGGUACCUAAUCAGAAAGCCACGGCUAACUACGUG
Molecule: ribosomal RNA, 497 nt
Filed under: uncultured bacterium
Lineage: Bacteria
Description: partial 16S ribosomal RNA
Rfam family: Bacterial small subunit ribosomal RNA
Source: RNAcentral